This 150-nucleotide small nucleolar RNA is filed under the name Chlamydomonas reinhardtii. RNAcentral's name for it is "CrACA33d snoRNA". Lineage: Eukaryota; Viridiplantae; Chlorophyta; Chlorophyceae; Chlamydomonadales; Chlamydomonadaceae. The record is from RNAcentral.
CAGACGCACGGAUUAACUUACUGGCCUGCCCCUGCAACCAUGGGCAGCUCAGUAUACGCCCGUGCGAUAGCCAACCGCUCGGCCGUGGCGCGUUCACUUCUAGGCGAGGCCCAACCCUUUCCUAGAGCUCCGCGCGUGGGCCGCACAUCC